Molecule: ribosomal RNA, 570 nt
Filed under: Pediococcus sp.
Lineage: Bacteria; Bacillati; Bacillota; Bacilli; Lactobacillales; Lactobacillaceae
Description: bacterial SSU rRNA
Rfam family: Bacterial small subunit ribosomal RNA
Source: RNAcentral
UGGAGAAGUUUGAUCCUGGCUCAGGAUGAACGCUGGCGGCGUGCCUAAUACAUGCAAGUCGUAACGAACUUCCGUUAAUUGAUUAUGACGUACUUGUACUGAUUGAGAUUUUAACACGAAGUGAGUGGCGAACGGGUGAGUAACACGUGGGUAACCUGCCCAGAAGUAGGGGAUAACACCUGGAAACAGAUGCUAAUACCGUAUAACAGAGAAAACCGCAUGGUUUUCUUUUAAAAGAUGGCUCUGCUAUCACUUCUGGAUGGACCCGCGGCGUAUUAGCUAGUUGGUGAGGUAAAGGCUCACCAAGGCAGUGAUACGUAGCCGACCUGAGAGGGUAAUCGGCCACAUUGGGACUGAGACACGGCCCAGACUCCUACGGGAGGCAGCAGUAGGGAAUCUUCCACAAUGGACGCAAGUCUGAUGGAGCAACGCCGCGUGAGUGAAGAAGGGUUUCGGCUCGUAAAGCUCUGUUGUUAAAGAAGAACGUGGGUAAGAGUAACUGUUUACCCAGUGACGGUAUUUAACCAGAAAGCCACGGCUAACUACGUGCCAGCAGCCGCGGUUUAAUAA